UUCCAAAGCGGCCAUCUAUUUUCCAUCCAGCGUUCUAACUUAUCCCACAAUUGACUGACUACUUCACGAUCAGUAUGUCGUCGUAAUCUUUCCACAAAAAUGCCUUCUACAUUCCAGUCAUGUGUUGCAGGAUGAGGAGGAUCACCAACGUAUUGAACCAAAAAUCCUUUAACAUGAUGAAAAAGCUGGUGCGGUUCUGACCAUUUAUAAUCUCUAAACUGCCAAGCUUGGCCUGUUGUAAAAACGCAAACGACGCGAUCCCAAUAGUCAGGUUUAAACUUUUCUGUACCUUCUACGAUAAUAAAACGCAUUGUUCCAAAUUUUGAAUUCGAGCUUUUGUGGGACAGAGCAAUAAGCUCAGGACCACGACCACCACCAGCUGCAUGAGCGGCUUCAGCUGGAGGAACAAAAAUACCUUCUUCCAAAAAUUUCUUAAUAUUGUGCAUUGUCAAUAAAGACGAAGCGGAAGGUGAAAGCAGAAUAAUAGGAUCCCGAUCUAAAAAUUGAUUAGUUCUAGGCAUAAUAAAAAAAACACACUUCUUUUUUUAGCCGGUCUCUCUUGCUCAUCGGCGUGAGCGCUAGCAGUAGCCUUGUUUGCAUGAAUAUAGUCAAGAACAUCUUUUCUCAAGGAAAUAAAAUCCUAAAAAAAGUUAGGAUUUUGAGACUUUUGUUAAAUAAAUCGCAACAUACAAUUGGCUUAAUACCAUGCAACACAGAGUUAUGAUUGGAAACGGUUCGGGUAUUCUCAAAUAACCAAUUAACCUCUUCACUUUUCUUAUGCAAAUCAACAUCCAUUGAAGUAGCUGCGUCAGUUGACCCUUCAGGUUUAGGCUUUUCUACUCAUAAACAAUGUUAGCUUUGCCAAAUUUUUUAAAGAAAGAAGUUUUUAUAACGCAUACCCAAGCCAAUGAUAUGUUCACUGUCCGAAGAACCCUCUAACCAAGAAAUUAAGUCUGUUCUUUCCAAAAAAGUUAAAUUUUGAAUACCCAACUCGGAACAUUGUUGAAUGUACUCAGCAAUGCUCGUGUCUCGCAACAGCCAAGCAAAGUAAACACUUCGUAAAGAAAAAUGACUGUCAUUUUCCAAUUUAAUAAAUUUUGUGGGUUCGUCUAUUAAUAUUGGAGAUGUAUUUUCAUCAAACAGGAUAUACUGCGCAUCUUCUAUUUUUUCAACCUUAGACGUUGCUUCACUACUAGCAAGUAAUUUUACAUCUUUUUUCUCUGCAAUAGACUUUUUAAGAAGCAACAAAGAGUCCAUCUCCUUUGUUUUGUUGAUACUUAAUCAAGUAGGUAAAUGGCACGCGUCGGUCGGACCAUGAGGCAUUUACUCGAGUCUCUCAGAAGAUUGAAAUCGUUUGGAUGAAGGCAUGACGAGACCUAAAUUGCAAAGAAUUUUACUUUAUGUUUCUUUAUUAAUUUAAUAGUUUUCAGUCGACGUUUGGGACAAUAAGGUGUUUAGUGAUAAAUCUAAUCACUAUUAGCACUUGCAGGACGAUUAAAUCAAUUUCAAAUUUAUCGUUUAUUUGCUUGAAGAUACGCCUUACACCUCUGAAGUACAUAUACACUCUUUGCUGCCAUAUAGAACUACUUAUAGCGAAUGCACACCCCGAUAAACUUUUUACGACCGACUCAAACAGAAUAUUUGAAAGCUACCCACUAAACUACUCUAACCGAAUUGAUUUAAAAAGCUACCAAGUUUCUAGUAACUCUCAGUAAAUAAAAACAUUCAUACAGAAGUUCCCAUGCAAGUAAUGUAUCAAUAUAUAUUGGAAAUAAGCAUUAGGCUGAUUUCAAUAUUUACAAAAAAAGGAAAGAUUUGAUCGACAAACCGAAAUCCGCAAACACAAAAAUAUUUUACUCUUUAACGACAGUAGGUUCUGCAGCUUGCACUUCGGGCUUCAUAUGAGGAAAAAGCAAGACUUCACGGAUAGUGUUACUGUCAGUCAAAAACAUAACAAGACGGUCAACACCCAUUCCCCAACCACCGGUAGGAGGUAGACCAUACUCAAGGGCCGUGCAGAAGUUCUCAUCAAUGAUUUGAGCUUCAUCAUCACCCUGAGCCUUUUGACGAGCUUGUUCUUCGAAACGAGCUCGUUGGUCAAAAAUAUCGUUCAACUCAGUAUAAGCAUUGCAGAUUUCCUUAGUUGCAACGAAAGCUUCAAAGCGUUCACACAGGCCCGCAUCAGAACGAUGGUAUUUAGCCAAUGGAGACAUCAUUUGAGGAUGACCAAUAAUGAAAGUAGGAUUGAUACAUUCACUUUCAAUGAACUCGCCAACCAAUUUGUCCAAGAGUCGGGAGCACGUUUGAGGUGGGGCGCAUUCAACACCGUGCUUAGCACACAAGUCUCUUAAAAAUGCAUUGGCUUCAGGAGUAUGCAAUUGGUCACCAGGUGGGAAUUUAGUGUUAAGUUUCUCCUCCAAAUACUCAAUCAUGUUAAUACGACGCCAAGGACGACUAAAAUCAAGUUCCCACUUAGGGCCUUCAGGUCCUUCAGGAUGGUAGGGAACUUUGUAGGAACCGGUAAGGUCUUUCACAAGACCAGAAAGUAGCUCUUCAGUUGUGUCCAUGAGAUCAUAGUAAUCAGCAUAGGCUUGAUAAAAUUCAAUAGAUGUGAAUUCUGGGUUAUGGGUCAAGUCGGCACCUUCGUUACGAAAUUGACGGCCAAUUUCGUAAACCCGAUCCAAACCACCUACAACAAGCAUUUUAAGAUACAGUUCGGGAGCGAUACGCAUGUACAAAUCCAUAUCUAAAUCAUUAUGAUGAGUAACAAAAGGUUUGGCAGUAGCACCACCAGCAAUCAUGUUCAUCAUAGGAGUCUCCACCUCCAUAAAGUCACGGCUAUCGAAAAAGUGACGGAUGUAUUGAAUGAUACGGCUACGCAUAACAAAACGGUCACGAGUUGAGCGAUUCAUAAUAAGGUCUAAAUAACGUUGGCGGUGACGAAUUUCUAAAUCCUUCAAACCAUAAUGUUCUUUAGGAAGCAUGCGUAAACAAGGACUAAGUAAAACGCAUUGACGAGCAAAGAUUGAAAGUUCACCAUCAGCACGUCCCUUAGGGUUGGAACGACCAGGAUAUCCGCGAAUACCGAUAAUAUCACCACGUCUUAAAUGCUCAUGCUGAGCAGCAAAGUCGACAGUGUCAGCAUCUUGCGCUUGACACAUAACUUGAAGCUUUUUCCCAUCAGCAUGGAUUUCAUAGAAACGCAGCUUAUUACCAGCAGUACGAAGCCCAAGAACACGGCCGGCAACUGCAACUUCAACUUCAGGCUUAGUUUCACCACGAGCUAGUCCCUCAUAUUUGGCUAUAAAUUCAGGGAGGGUGAUGGUGACCUGGAACUUGUGGGGAUAAGGAUUAGGAUCCUUCGUUUGGCGUAAUUCCAUGAUAGUACGAGAACGAUUUUCAAAGUACUGGGAAGGGUCCAAAUCUUCUUCCUUCUUUGAAGAGCUCUUAGGAGCAGCAACAGGAGCAGACGCAGCCUUUUCGGCUUGCUUUUUUGCUUUAGCUAAUUCACGAGCACGUUGUUUUUCGCGCUUCUUUAACUCAGUCUUUGAGACUUGUUCACCAGUGACGGGAUCAAGGACUAAAGCCUUUACAGCCUGUGUAACUCCAUUCACCUGUUCCUCACUCAUUUUAGCUUACAAUUGCCGUUUUCAGGUUUCAGAGAAAUUUUCGUGGAGGAAGAGAAUAUUUACCCCUUGUAGAUGGUAGUUCCGUAACAUAAGAUAGUGUAAUAUAACACAUUCCGUUAUUUAGUUAAUAUUUUUUUAAAAUGAUUCUGUUGAUAUAUGCUAAACGUUUGAAGAUGUGAGUAAUAAAUGUGUAAAAUUUUUUAGAUUUACAACAUCGGCUGGGUUCACUGAUUUUGGAUCCUCCCUAUUAUGGUAUUAGACGAGACAUUAUAAUGGGUCUUUAAGAUGAACAAUUGUAU
This 3928-nucleotide long non-coding RNA is filed under the name Schizosaccharomyces pombe (fission yeast). Lineage: Eukaryota; Fungi; Ascomycota; Schizosaccharomycetes; Schizosaccharomycetales; Schizosaccharomycetaceae. The record is from RNAcentral.